GAUGAACGCUAGCGGGAGGCCUAAUACAUGCAAGUCGAACGGUAACAGGUAGCAAUACGCUGACGAGUGGCGCACGGGUGCGUAACGCGUACACAAUCUGCCUUAUACUGGGGCAUAGCCUUUGGAAACGAAGAAUAAUUCCCCAUAACAUAUAGAAGAGGCAUCUCUUUUAUAUUAAAGCUCAGGCGGUAUAAGAUGAGUGUGCGUCCGAUUAGGUAGUUGGUGAGGUAACGGCUCACCAAGCCAACGAUCGGUAGCUGGUCUGAGAGGAUGAUCAGCCACACGGGCACUGAGACACGGGCCCGACUCCUACGGGAGGCAGCAGUAGGGAAUAUUGGACAAUGGGCGCAAGCCUGAUCCAGCCAUCCCGCGUGAAGGAUGAAGGUCCUCUGGAUUGUAAACUUCUUUUCUUCGGGAAUAAAAACUAGGGGUUCUCCUCAGCUUGAAGGUACCGAAGGAAUAAGCACCGGCUAACUCCGUGCCAGCAGCCGCGGUAAAGUC
RNAcentral lists this ribosomal RNA (501 nucleotides) under uncultured bacterium. Its description in RNAcentral is "bacterial SSU rRNA". It matches the Rfam family "Bacterial small subunit ribosomal RNA", at positions 28 to 526 of the family's 1533-position model. The record is from RNAcentral.